UGAUAGCCCUGAAAGCAGCGGUAUCCUUUAUUUACGAGUUACAACCAUUUUAAUGGCUGUAACUCGUAAAUAAAGAUAAAGCGAAUAGCAGGAAAUAGC
Molecule: small RNA, 99 nt
Filed under: Flavobacterium sp. FPG59
Lineage: Bacteria; Pseudomonadati; Bacteroidota; Flavobacteriia; Flavobacteriales; Flavobacteriaceae
Description: Flavo-1 RNA
Rfam family: Flavo-1 RNA
Source: Rfam by way of RNAcentral